CAGCCGCCGCGGUAAUACAGAGGGUGCGAGCGUUAAUCGGAUUUACUGGGCGUAAAGCGUGCGUAGGCGGUUUGUUAAGUCUGCUGUGAAAUCCCCGGGCUCAACCUGGGAAUGGCAGUGGAUACCGGCAAGCUAGAGUGUGUCAGAGGAUGGUGGAAUUCCCGGUGUAGCGGUGAAAUGCGUAGAGAUCGGGAGGAACAUCAGUGGCGAAGGCGGCCAUCUGGGACAACACUGACGCUGAGGCACGAAAGCGUGGGGAGCAAACAGGAUUAGAUACCGGUAGUCCCUGUCUCUUAUACAC
Molecule: ribosomal RNA, 301 nt
Filed under: uncultured bacterium
Lineage: Bacteria
Description: partial 16S ribosomal RNA
Rfam family: Bacterial small subunit ribosomal RNA
Source: RNAcentral